GUGAGUCAUCGAAUCUUUGAACGCACAUUGCACCCUCUGGUAUCCUGGGGGGUAUGCCUGUUCGAGCGUCAUUGCAACCCUCAAGCACUGCUUGGCAUUGGAUACUACCUCUUGGGUAUGUCUCAAAAAUAUUAGCAGUGGCAUUCAGCUUCUAGUGUAGUAAUUUUCUCGCUCAGGAGUCAUGAGUGUCUUACUGCUAGAACCCUCUAAUUCAUCACAAGGUUGACCUCGGAUCAGGUAGGGAUACCCGCUGAACUUAAGCAUAUCAAUAAGCGGAGGA
This 280-nucleotide unclassified non-coding RNA is filed under the name Helotiales sp. RNAcentral describes it as "partial contains 5.8S ribosomal RNA, internal transcribed spacer 2, and large subunit ribosomal RNA". The stretch from base 1 to 71 matches the Rfam family "5.8S ribosomal RNA", at positions 84 to 154 of the family's 154-position model. The record is from RNAcentral. Lineage: Eukaryota; Fungi; Ascomycota; Leotiomycetes; Helotiales.